This 495-nucleotide ribosomal RNA is filed under the name uncultured bacterium. RNAcentral describes it as "partial 16S ribosomal RNA". It matches the Rfam family "Bacterial small subunit ribosomal RNA", at positions 28 to 507 of the family's 1533-position model. The record is from RNAcentral.
GACGAACGCUGGCGGCGUGCCUAAUACAUGCAAGUAGAACGCUGAAGGAGGAGCUUGCUUCUCUGGAUGAGUUGCGAACGGGUGAGUAACGCGUAGGUAACCUGCCUGGUAGCGGGGGAUAACUAUUGGAAACGAUAGCUAAUACCGCAUAAGAGUAGAUGUUGCAUGACAUUUGCUUAAAAGGUGCAAUUGCAUCACUACCAGAUGGACCUGCGUUGUAUUAGCUAGUUGGUGGGGUAACGGCUCACCAAGGCGACGAUACAUAGCCGACCUGAGAGGGUGAUCGGCCACACUGGGACUGAGACACGGCCCAGACUCCUACGGGAGGCAGCAGUAGGGAAUCUUCGGCAAUGGACGGAAGGCUGACCGAGCAACGCCGCGUGAGUGAAGAAGGUUUUCGGAUCGUAAAGCUCGGUUGUAAGAGAAGAACGAGUGUGAGAGUGGAAAGUUCACACUGUGACGGUAUCUUACCAGAAAGGGACGGCUAACUACGUG